AACACUGAACACUCGGUGUGUGACGGUGGAACAAUGUACAGGUCCCCAUUAUAAUAAUUUGCAAGUGACCAGAAAAAAUGAGUUAUUCUACUGCUUUUUUAUAUAAACAUCAAGAAGGAAGCACAUUCGGAAAAAUGGUAUUUGAAGCACUAAAAAUGAGGCAAACGCAUUGAACCAGGACAUUUCUGCAACCAACGAAACAGCAUUAUGCAAUCAUACUUUCACUAGACAACUGAAGGUAACACAAAAAAGUCAAAUAUCAUUCUAUAAACAUCCACGGAAAAGUGAGUACUGUUUCUAAGUGAGAUGUUCCUCAAAGAUGUGUAGAAGAAGGAUGGAAGCUACUUCAAACACUACUUCGACGCAUUAUACAGUGGCUUGUAUUCUGUAGAUCACUGCGAUGAAUGGUGUGCAUAUUACCACACCUGUGCAAUACAUAACGUAGACUACAGCAGCUUCCUCGAAUGUGUGGCUGGAUGGUAUCCAGUAAAACCUGUACGUGGUCUCAGGCAUCAUGUAUGGGAGUCAGGUGGUGAAAAUUCUUCUUGUCUGAGUCUUUCUGUGCAUUUAUAUUUACAAUACUCAGUGUUGCUAAUACAAACCUGUGGGUUAUUUUAAUACAGAUAGUUUGAGCGUUUUCAUUGAAGUUUUAUUUAAACAUG
Schistocerca piceifrons (Central American locust) is the source of this 662-nucleotide long non-coding RNA. RefSeq lists it as uncharacterized. The transcript is spliced from 2 exons. The record is from RefSeq and is a predicted model, not a curated record. Lineage: Eukaryota; Metazoa; Arthropoda; Insecta; Orthoptera; Acrididae.